AUGGUCUCUGAGAUCAUGGACCUCGUGGCCAGGAACAUGCAUCAGCACUGGUUCCUCCUCUUUCUGGUGGCAGCUCCCAGAUGUGUCCUGUCGCAGAUACAGCUGCAGGAGUUGGGACCAACCCUGGUGACGCCCUCGCAGACGCUGUCCCUCAUCUGCUCCGUCUCUGGAUUCUCUCUAACCAGCUAUAGUGUGUACUGGGUCCGCCAGGCCCCUGGAAGGGGUCUGGAUUGGAUUGGUACUAUAUGUAAUGGUGGAAGCACAGACUAUAACCCAAGUCUUAAGUCCCGACUCAGCAUCACCAGGGACACCUCCAAGAACCAAGUUUACCUAAAACUGAGCAACUCGGUAACUGAGGACACAGCCGUGUAUUAUUGUGAUGGACCCAGUGACCUCUACCAGCCCCUUCUCAGGUUGGACCAGGUCGUCAGCUAUGAAUUCUACCUCCUCAUGAACAUGCAAAUUAGAUGA
Sorex fumeus (smoky shrew) is the source of this 471-nucleotide non-coding RNA. The record is from the annotation of a RefSeq genome assembly. NCBI's taxonomy places the organism in Eukaryota, Metazoa, Chordata, Mammalia, Eulipotyphla, Soricidae.